RNA transcript from Capsicum annuum, 1808 nucleotides. It is a transcript of the gene named arogenate dehydratase 2, with no coding region annotated. The transcript is spliced from 13 exons. Lineage: Eukaryota; Viridiplantae; Streptophyta; Magnoliopsida; Solanales; Solanaceae. The record is from RefSeq and is a predicted model, not a curated record.
GAAUGAAUGGUAUACUAGCUCGAGGCCAACACAUUUGGUAAAUUUCCAUUCCAACAAAAUAUGUACACCAAAACAGCCACCAUAUGUAUCUCUCUGUCCUCCCUCCAUUUCUUCAUCUCCAAAACUCUCUCACACACACACAGUGACAAGUGAAAAAUCACUAUGUCAUCCACCAUUCUCCGUUCCCCAAAACUCCCUUGUCCUCCCGAUCCAACCACCUCAAUUCCCCCACCCCACAACCAAUCCUUCUUCACUCCUUUACCAAAACGACGUCGUUGUAUCUCGAUCUAUACCUGCUGUACUGCCGGUGACCAAAGCAGUAACAGUGCAUUCGGAAGUGAAAUCAAAAAAGGACAAGCAAUUGAGUUAAAUAAAGUCAAUGAUGAUAAUCCUUACGAAUUUAAUGCUAAAGAUUCACCUAAUCCAUUGCCAAGGCCAUUAACGUCAGCUGAUUUGAGCAAUAUGGCUUCUGAAGGUUCUCGUCUUCGGGUUGCUUAUCAGGGUGUGCGUGGUGCUUAUAGUGAAUCAGCGGCAGAGAAAGCUUACCCCAACUGUGAAGCAGUUCCUUGCGAACAAUUUGAUACUGCUUUUGAAGCUGUUGAAAGGUGGCUUGUUGAUAGAGCAGUUUUACCAAUAGAAAACUCUUUAGGCGGGAGUAUCCACAGGAAUUAUGACCUUUUGCUGAGACACCGUUUACAUAUAGUUGGAGAAGUCAAACUAGCAAUUCGGCACUGUUUACUGGCUAACAAUGGUGUCAAAAUCGAAGACCUGAAAAGAGUUCUUAGCCAUCCGCAGGCUCUUGCUCAGUGUGAGAACACAUUAACGAAGUUGGGAUUGGUCAGAGAAGCUGUUGAUGAUACUGCUGGUGCAGCCAAGUAUAUUGCUUUCAACAAACUCAACGAUGCAGGGGCAGUUGCAAGCUUGGCUGCGUCUAGGAUCUAUGGUUUGAAUGUGCUUGCCCAAGAUAUUCAGGACGAUUCUGAUAAUGUCACCCGCUUCCUUAUGCUGGCUAGGGAGCCCAUUAUUCCUCGUACUGAUAAACCAUUUAAGACAAGUGUAGUCUUUUCGCUUGAUGAAGGUCCUGGGGUGCUUUUCAAGGCACUUGCUGUUUUUGCAAUGAGAAACAUCAAUCUUACUAAGAUUGAAAGUCGUCCACUGCAAAAGCAGGCUCUGCGAGUGCUUGAUGAUAGUGUAGAUGGAUUUCCAAAGUACUUCCCUUACCUUUUCUAUGUUGAUUUUGAAGCAUCAAUGGCUGAUCAAAGGGCUCAAAAUGCUCUGGGACAUCUGAAGGAAUUUGCUACAUUUUUGCGAGUUUUAGGGAGUUACCCUUCAGAUAGUGGAAUAGCUUGACAUUUACAAGGACUGGUUAUGCUUUGUGAAGCUCGUAAAGGAUUUUGAUCAGCUGUAUUUAGCCUCUCCAGACACAAAACCAUAUGGUUUCUGUGACUUCCAGAAAAGUUGUCAUCCUCUUGUUGAGCUUUAUAGAAUUAGUUGGCAUCUCAAGAUUUGGCAAGCAUGUAAAGAUGCACGCUGGUGAAAUUAGGCUGAAAUUCCACUAUGGAUAACCAUGCCACACUAGGAUGUGAUUACUGAUAUUCUUUUUUCAAUCCAGAAUUCAUCAUCUUUUCUGGUGUUCUCUCUUUAUUUUCUAUCCCAGAUCUGUUCUCUUUGGGGGUUCCAGAGCGUAUUGGUGAAAUGUACAUGAGCUAAGGAUUACAUGUAUAUGUGUAUGUGUACAAUGUGUGUUUGUAGAAUCUUUUGCCCUUAUUGGUUAUAUUUAUGAACAACACCCAUAAUUCUUUAUUUCA